GAUGAACGCUGGCGGCGUGCCUAAUACAUGCAAGUCGAGCGAACAGACGAGGAGCUUGCUCCUCUGACGUUAGCGGCGGACGGGUGAGUAACACGUGGAUAACCUACCUAUAAGACUGGGAUAACUUCGGGAAACCGGAGCUAAUACCGGAUAAUAUAUUGAACCGCAUGGUUCAAUAGUGAAAGACGGUUUUGCUGUCACUUAUAGAUGGAUCCGCGCCGCAUUAGCUAGUUGGUAAGGUAACGGCUUACCAAGGCGACGAUGCGUAGCCGACCUGAGAGGGGGAUCGGCCACACGGGAACUGGGACGCGGUCCAGACUCCUACGGGAGGCAGCAGUAGGGAAUCUUCCGCAAUGGGCGAAAGCCUGACGGAGCAACGCCGCGUGAGUGAUGAAGGUCUUCGGAUCGUAAAACUCUGUUAUUAGGGAAGAACAAAUGUGUAAGUAACUAUGCACGUCUUGACGGUACCUAAUCAGAAAGCCACGGCUAACUACGUG
RNAcentral lists this ribosomal RNA (497 nucleotides) under uncultured bacterium. RNAcentral describes it as "partial 16S ribosomal RNA". It matches the Rfam family "Bacterial small subunit ribosomal RNA", at positions 28 to 507 of the family's 1533-position model. The record is from RNAcentral.